RNAcentral lists this ribosomal RNA (253 nucleotides) under uncultured bacterium. RNAcentral describes it as "partial 16S ribosomal RNA". It matches the Rfam family "Bacterial small subunit ribosomal RNA", at positions 524 to 776 of the family's 1533-position model. The record is from RNAcentral.
CACGUAGGGCGCAAGCGUUGUCCGGAAUUAUUGGGCGUAAAGCGCAUGUAGGCGGGAAUCUAAGUCGGGUGUGAAAUCCCUGGGCUCAACCUAGGAACUGCAUCCGAAACUGGGUUUCUCGAGUGGUGGAGAGGAAAGCGGAAUUCCGGGUGUAGAGGUGAAAUUCGUAGAUAUCCGGAGGAACACCAGUGGCGAAGGCGGCUUUCUGGACACCAACUGACGCUGAGAUGCGAAAGCGUGGGGAGCAAACAGG